RNAcentral lists this long non-coding RNA (1238 nucleotides) under Salvia miltiorrhiza (redroot sage). RNAcentral describes it as "long non-coding RNA (SMIL_LNC001911)". The record is from RNAcentral. Lineage: Eukaryota; Viridiplantae; Streptophyta; Magnoliopsida; Lamiales; Lamiaceae.
ACAAUUUCUCUCUCCCACGUUCUUUCAAUUUAAUCAUAUUAUCUCUCUCCUACGAUACUCUCAAUUUGGCCAUUAUAAAACUUUUGCUUUUCGUGUACAAAUCAACAAAUUUCUGUUAUCUACCCCAAUCACAUUAACAAAUUUCAAAAUCGAAAAAUUCCCCAAUAGAAACCCUUUUCAUCAACCCUUUUCUCAUCUUUCUCUGAUUCCACCAUGGCCUCGGCUUGCUGUCCUGUAACACCGCUCUCCGUUCGCUCAUGAAUUCUGACAGAUUCAGCCGCCAUUCUUCAGUCGCUCAUAAAAGGGUUUAGGGUGAAAGAAGAAGAGAAUAGAGGGAAGGGAGAGUAUAGGGGAAAGGGAGUCACGUCACAGCGGUGUUCCUGUCGGCAGCGGGUUGGUGGCCAUGACGCUAAUUGACAACGUCGACUAAUUACCGGAAAUUAAGAAGUGAAAGGGGACCUCUGGAUUUUGGAAUGAGGGUUUGUUUAUCUUCACUGUUCAGCAUAUGAUUGAGAGGAGAAGUGAGGGAGAGUAGUGCUCUGAAAGAUUCUCCAAAAAAGCCGGUAGAUCAGAGCAGAGAAGAAACGAGAUCUAGCGAGAAAAGUAGUGAGGCGGCGGAGGGAUCGAGGGAGAAAGGAGGAAAUGACACACACGGACGAAAAAAAAGAACUAUAGCUCAAUCACCUAAAAUUCUACCGCCUCAAUUCAAUCGAAACGCGUCUUCUUGCCCUUCCCGAAAGCACCGCAACAUCCGUACGAUGAAACCUUGAGGCUUGAGCGAAGGCGGCUCCAUCGCCGGCGACGGAAUUCCCUCCAGCCGUUAGAUCGUCUCCUCUUGAUCGUCAAUCCAGUGAGCGGGGAUGACAAUUUAUUUAGGGCAGUGGUUACCAGAUCUUUCUUAUUCUCUCUGCUGCUGCUGCACUCCUUGACGCAAAAAGAAAAGAAAAGAAAGCAAUGGAGAAGAAGAAGCUGUAGCGGCGCUGGAUUGGGAAAAAUGUAAUAGGGCUUUCACUAUUUUACUUUUUAAUUAUAUUAAUAGUAGUAUUUUUGUAGUUAAGAGGUGCGGUUUUUCGUGUAGAGAGAAAUGUGUGUGAAAUGGCCACACAUAUUUUAAUUGGAGUUAAAAAGAACUUUAUUUUAUAUGCUAAAAUAGAAUUAUAAAAAUAUUAAGUAAAUACUAAUUGCUUAGUAUAGCAAAGUAGUGCGUAUAUAUAAUGAUUAAAUCAAAAACAAAAUUU